RNAcentral lists this ribosomal RNA (620 nucleotides) under Halopseudomonas xiamenensis. RNAcentral describes it as "bacterial SSU rRNA". It matches the Rfam family "Bacterial small subunit ribosomal RNA", at positions 116 to 732 of the family's 1533-position model. The record is from RNAcentral. Lineage: Bacteria; Pseudomonadati; Pseudomonadota; Gammaproteobacteria; Pseudomonadales; Pseudomonadaceae.
CCUGGGAAUCUGCCUGGUAGUGGGGGAUAACGUCCGGAAACGGGCGCUAAUACCGCGUACGUCCUACGGGAGAAAGCAGGGGAUCUUCGGACCUUGCGCUAUCAGAUGAGCCCAGGUCGGAUUAGCUAGUAGGUGAGGUAAUGGCUCACCUAGGCGACGAUCCGUAACUGGUCUGAGAGGAUGAUCAGUCACACUGGAACUGAGACACGGUCCAGACUCCUACGGGAGGCAGCAGUGGGGAAUAUUGGACAAUGGGGGCAACCCUGAUCCAGCCAUGCCGCGUGUGUGAAGAAGGUCUUCGGAUUGUAAAGCACUUUAAGUUGGGAGGAAGGGCUUUAGGUUAAUACCCUGAAGUUUUGACGUUACCAACAGAAUAAGCACCGGCUAACUCUGUGCCAGCAGCCGCGGUAAUACAGAGGGUGCAAGCGUUAAUCGGAAUUACUGGGCGUAAAGCGCGCGUAGGUGGUUCAGUAAGAUGGGUGUGAAAUCCCCGGGCUUAACCUGGGAACUGCUUUCAUAACUGCUGAGCUAGAGUACGGUAGAGGGUAGUGGAAUUUCCUGUGUAGCGGUGAAAUGCGUAGAUAUAGGAAGGAACACCAGUGGCGAAGGCGACUACCUGG